GUUUCUCUAGCUCAGUCGGUAGAGCAUGAGACUCUUAAUCUCAUGGUUGUGGGUUCGAGUCCCACGUUGGGCA
This 73-nucleotide transfer RNA is filed under the name Rattus norvegicus (Norway rat). It matches the Rfam family "tRNA". From Rfam's summary of the family: Transfer RNA (tRNA) molecules are approximately 80 nucleotides in length. Lineage: Eukaryota; Metazoa; Chordata; Mammalia; Rodentia; Muridae. The record is from Rfam by way of RNAcentral.